This 73-nucleotide transfer RNA is filed under the name Dermacentor silvarum. RNAcentral describes it as "transfer RNA tyrosine (anticodon GUA)". It matches the Rfam family "tRNA". From Rfam's summary of the family: Transfer RNA (tRNA) molecules are approximately 80 nucleotides in length. Their secondary structure includes four short double-helical elements and three loops (D, anti-codon, and T loops). Further hydrogen bonds mediate the characteristic L-shaped molecular structure. tRNAs have two regions of fundamental functional importance: the anti-codon, which is responsible for specific mRNA codon recognition, and the 3' end, to which the tRNAs corresponding amino acid is attached (by aminoacyl-tRNA synthetases). tRNAs cope with the degeneracy of the genetic code in two manners: having more than one tRNA (with a specific anti-codon) for a particular amino acid; and 'wobble' base-pairing, i.e. permitting non-standard base-pairing at the 3rd anti-codon position. The record is from RNAcentral. Lineage: Eukaryota; Metazoa; Arthropoda; Arachnida; Ixodida; Ixodidae.
CCGUUGAUAGCUCAGUUGAUAGAGCGGUGGACUGUAGAUCCAUAGGUCGCUGGUUCAAAUCCGGCUCGACGGA